This 403-nucleotide long non-coding RNA is filed under the name Olea europaea (common olive). RNAcentral describes it as "long non-coding RNA (OEUR_LNC003007)". The record is from RNAcentral. Lineage: Eukaryota; Viridiplantae; Streptophyta; Magnoliopsida; Lamiales; Oleaceae.
GAAGAAAAAAACCUAGGGAGAAGUUGAUUGUCGGCUGGGAAUAAAAUUGGAAGAGAGAAUAACCUAUAGAAGGAGAAAAGGGCAGCCAAAUUGGGAAAAUAUAUACACAUGUAACCGGGCUGCUUUUGAGGAGAAAUAGAGUUACUGUUGGGAAGUAAUAUUCGGUUGAUUUGGGAUAUCUUCUUGGAGAUUAUUACUUGCGAACUGAGGAAGACGGCAGAAAAAACAAGAGGAAAAGACUGCUGGAAGAGAAGAAAAAUAGGGCUGCCAAUUGGUUGAAAUUAUACAUACAACUGUGUGGCUUUGGUUGAUUUUUACAUAUAUACACAACACCCAUAAUUGGCAGGCAGAAGAAGACAAAUGAGCAAUUGAAUUGAAUUGUUAUAUAUAUAUAUAUAUAUAU